This 513-nucleotide ribosomal RNA is filed under the name uncultured bacterium. Its description in RNAcentral is "bacterial SSU rRNA". It matches the Rfam family "Bacterial small subunit ribosomal RNA", at positions 29 to 531 of the family's 1533-position model. The record is from RNAcentral.
AUUGAACGCUGGCGGCAUGCCUAACACAUGCAAGUCGAACGGCAGCACGGUCUGGUUUACCAGAUGGGUGGCGAGUGGCGAACGGGUGAGUAAAGCGUAGGAAUAUACCUUAAAGAGGGGGAUAACCUGGGGAAACUCAGACUAAUACCGCGUAAACUCUGCGGAGCAAAGCUGGGGACCGAAAGGCCUGGCGCUUUAAGAAUAGCCUGCGUCCGAUUAGCUAGUUGGUGGGGUAAAGGCUCACCAAGGCGACGAUCGGUAGCUGGUCUGAGAGGACGAACAGCCACACUGGGACUGAGACACGGCCCAGACUCCUACGGGAGGCAGCAGUGGGGAAUAUUGGACAAUGGGGGGAACCCUGAUCCAGCAAUGCCGCGUGUGCGAAGAAGGCCUGAGGGUUGUAAAGCACUUUCAGUGGGAGGAGGAUUACUAGGUUAAGAGCCAGGUAAUUGGACGUUACCCACAGAAGAAGCACCGGCUAACUCCGUGCCAGCAGCCGCGGUAAAGUCGAUA